This 2022-nucleotide ribosomal RNA is filed under the name Triticum aestivum (bread wheat). Its description in RNAcentral is "partial small subunit ribosomal RNA". The record is from RNAcentral. Lineage: Eukaryota; Viridiplantae; Streptophyta; Magnoliopsida; Poales; Poaceae.
AUGGCGGCAAUGCCGGGGCUGGCACUUGCGGUGCUGGUCCUUGUGUCGGUGCUCCCGGCGUACCGCUCCGACGACCUCAACACGGACGCGCAGGCGCUGGAGGCGCUGCGCAAGGCGGUGGGCCGGUCCGCGCUGCCGGCGUGGAACAGCAGCACGCAGACGUGCCAGUGGCAGGGCGUGGCCUGCGAGAACGGCCGCGUCGUCGAGCUCCGGCUCCCCGGCGCCGGGCUCAUGGGCGCGCUCCCCUCGGGCGUGCUCGGCAACCUCACCGCGCUCCGCACGCUCUCCCUCCGCUGGAACGCGCUCACGGGGCCCAUCCCCGACGACGUCGCCCGCAUGACCGAGCUCCGGGCCAUGUACUUCCAGCACAACGCCUUCUCCGGCGAGGUCCCCGCGGGGCUCUUCACGCUCAAGAACCUGGUGCGGCUCAACAUCGGGCAGAACAAGUUCUCCGGCGAGAUCUCGCCCGACUUCAACAAGCUCAACCGCCUCGGCUCGCUCAUCCUCGACAGCAACGACUUCUCCGGCGAGAUCCCCAAGCUGGACCUGCCCACAUUGGAGCAGUUCAACGUCUCCUACAACAAGCUCAACGGCUCCAUCCCCCGCAAGCUCCGCAAGAUGCCCAAGGACUCCUUCCUCGGCACCGGGCUCUGCGGCGGUCCGCUCGGCCUGUGCCCCGGCGAGACCGCGGAGACGCCGGCCGGGUCGCCGGAGGGCCAGCCAGGCGCCGGCGGCGCCGCCGCUGACGUCGGUGGCGGCAAGAAGAAGAAGAAGCUCUCCGGCGGCGCCAUCGCCGGCAUUGCCAUCGCGUGCGUGCUCGGCCUGCUGCUGCUGCUCGCCCUGCUCUUCUUCCUCUGCCGGAAGAAGAAGUCCAGCAGCGCGCCGAGGUCUUCUACGGCGGCGGUGGAGAAGGGGCGGGACCUGGGCAUGGGCCCGCUGGACGCGGAGCCCAAGGGGCAGAACGGCAACGGCGUCCACGGCGCCGCAGCGGUGCCGGCCGCCGCGGCCGCAGCUGCCGCCGUCGCCGCCAAGUCAGGAGGAGGAGGGUCGACCGCGGGGUCGAAGAAGCUGAUCUACUUCGGGCCGAUGGCGGCGGCCCCGCCGUUCGACCUGGAGGACCUGCUGCGCGCGUCGGCGGAGGUGCUGGGCAAGGGCGCGUUCGGCACGGCGUACAAGGCGGUGAUGGAGAGCGGCGCGGCGGUGGCCGUGAAGCGGCUCAAGGACGUGGACCUCCCCGAGCCGGAGUUCCGCGAGCGCAUCGCGGCCAUCGGCGCCGUGCAGCACGAGCUGGUGGUGCCCCUCCGCGCCUACUACUUCAGCAAGGACGAGAAGCUGCUCGUCUACGACUACAUGUCCAUGGGCAGCCUCUCCGCCCUCCUCCACGGGAACCGGUCGUCGGGGCGGACGCCGCUGGACUGGGAGGCGCGGUCGGCGAUCGCGCUAUCGACGGCGCGCGGGGUGGCGCACAUCCACUCCACGGGCCCGACGGCGUCGCACGGCAACAUCAAGUCCUCCAACGUGCUGCUCACCAAGAGCUACGAGGCCCGGGUGUCGGACCACGGCCUGCCCACGCUCGUCGGCCCGUCCUUCUCCCCCACCCGGGUGUCCGGCUACCGCGCCCCGGAGGUGACCGACAUCCGGCGCGUCUCGCAGAAGGCCGACGUCUACAGCUUCGGCGUGCUGCUGCUGGAGCUGCUCACGGGCAAGGCGCCCACCCACGCCGUGGUGAACGAGGAGGGCCUGGACCUGCCCCGGUGGGUGCAGUCGGUCGUCCGGGAGGAGUGGACCGCCGAGGUGUUCGACCAGGAGCUCCUCAGGUACCAGAACGUGGAGGAGGAGAUGGUGCAGCUGCUCCAGCUCGCCAUCGACUGCUCCGCGCAGCACCCCGACCGGAGGCCCAGCAUGUCCGACGCCGCCGCGCGCAUCGACGAGAUCCGGCGCUCCGCCUCCUCCCCCGCCCAGCACGCGACGACGGACAGCCCCGCCGCCCCCGCCCCCGAGGGCGACGAGCCCUCCCUAUAA